AGAACGAACGCUGGCGGCAUGCCUAACACAUGCAAGUCGAACGCGUGUAGCGAUACACGAGUGGCGGACGGGUGAGUAACGCGUGGGAACCUGCCCUGGAGUGUGGGAUAACCGAGGGAAACUUCGGCUAAUACCGCAUACGACCUGAGGGUGAAAGAUUUAUCGCUCUAGGAGGGGCCCGCGUCGGAUUAGCUAGUUGGUGGGGUAAAGGCCUACCAAGGCAGUGAUCCGUAGCUGGUCUGAGAGGAUGAUCAGCCACACUGGGACUGAGACACGGCCCAGACUCCUACGGGAGGCAGCAGUGGGGAAUAUUGGACAAUGGGGGGCAACCCUGAUCCAGCAAUGCCGCGUGAGUGAUGAAGGCCUUAGGGUUGUAAAGCUCUUUCGCGCGCGACGAUGAUGACGGUAGCGCGAGAAGACGCCCCGGCUAACUUCGCGCCAGCACGCCGC
Molecule: ribosomal RNA, 450 nt
Filed under: uncultured bacterium
Lineage: Bacteria
Description: SSU rRNA
Rfam family: Bacterial small subunit ribosomal RNA
Source: RNAcentral